AACGAACGCUGGCGGCAGGCCUAACACAUGCAAGUCGAACGCUCCAGCAAUGGAGAGUGGCAGACGGGUGAGUAACGCGUGGGAACCUUCCCUAUGGUUCGGAAUAGCUCAGGGAAACUUGAGGUAAUACCGGAUAAGCCCUUCGGGGAAAGAUUUAUCGCCAUUGGAUGGGCCCGCGUAGGAUUAGCUAGUUGGUGAGGUAACGGCUCACCAAGGCGACGACUCCUUAGCUGGUCNGAGAGGAUGAUCAGCCACACGUGGGACUGAGACACGGCCCAGACUCCUACGGGAGGCAGCAGGUGGGGAAUCUUGCGCAAUGGGCGAAAGCCUGACGCAGCGACGCCGCGUGAGGAU
This 354-nucleotide ribosomal RNA is filed under the name uncultured bacterium. RNAcentral's name for it is "bacterial SSU rRNA". It matches the Rfam family "Bacterial small subunit ribosomal RNA", at positions 29 to 408 of the family's 1533-position model. The record is from RNAcentral.